Molecule: microRNA precursor, 73 nt
Organism: Chlorocebus sabaeus (green monkey)
Lineage: Eukaryota; Metazoa; Chordata; Mammalia; Primates; Cercopithecidae
Source: Ensembl
ACCGCGAGUUCCGCGCCUGCCCGAGUCGCCCCACGCGGGGGACCGUGGGCUCAGCGCGUGGCGCCCGGAGCAU